GGGGCAGGAACACAGGAAUCAGCCCCCUCGGGGUCCCGACAAUAUCCUGGUCCCUUUUCUCCAAGCUGACUUGUCCUGGGACACUCAACUCUGGGCAGACUCCAGGUUGGAGAAAAGAUAAUUCCCACUCUCAGGGAAGGGGGAAAGGAUGUCUGCUCCAAGGCGGAGAGAAAUGAAGAAAAUACCCAUGAGUGUGGAAAUCGGUGGACAUUGUAAAUUGUCUAGAGGGCUGAGCUUGCGUCUAUGCCUUUGCGCACCUGGCACUGUGCCUUCAAUAAACACUCUGAGCCCUUCUCUGCACCGGGCACUGGCGAGGCUCUUUCUGGGAUGAAAUAAAUCUUGCUGGUGUUCUGGUAGGAGAGAGGCAAUGACAGAUGGGCCAGCAUUAUGAUUUCCCAUGCUGCUGAGCUCUAGAAGAAAGUGAACCAGCAGUGAGAGCCUGCGGGAAGGAUGGGUUUCUCAGUGCAGUCCCAGUAUGAGUGGCCUUCGCCGCAAGGCGCCAGCACCAAGUCAGAAAGCAAGCAAGUUUAACCGCUGCCUCCCUCCCCCAUGGUCUGUGAAAGUCUCAUGCUGCAGUGGCUUCAGUGGUGGUCCCCAGAAGAGACCUCCUUAUGAGCAUUCCCAAGACCCCUGAACAUGACCUUAUUUGGGAAAAGGGACCAUGCAGACCCUGGAAAUGAAAUGACUCAUGGGACCAUUACCCAGAUCAGCCCCAAAUUCAGAGACACAUGUCCUCCUGGGAGAUAUCCAGAGAGAAACACAAACAGAGGAGAAGGCCGGGAGAGGCGGAGGCCGAGAUUAGCAGCCACAGGCCGAGGAGGAUGUGGAGCCACCGAAAGGAAGAGACAAGGAACAGAGCCUGCCCUGGAGCCUCGGGUGUGUGCCAGGCAGUGUGGCCCUGCUGGCACCUUGGUUUUGGACCAGGUGUCUGGUCAUCUGUCAUGAUUGACCUGCCCACAUUUUCUAAUUCCUAAGGGUCUGCUCUCCCAGACCCUUCUUCCACCCAUGGCCCGAUUUGUCCUCUUUUGCCCUGUGUCCACCUGGGAGUGAGUCUCCAUGUCAUCAAUGUGUUCCACAUAAAAUGUACUUGCAGCAAGAGUUUCUAAUUGGCUUAGAGACUCUGGGGGAUGAGUUGGAGGAAGGCACAAGCACUGGACUUUCCCUUGACCACAUUUGGGUGAAUAAAAUGAUUUCUAAUCUUU
Ictidomys tridecemlineatus (thirteen-lined ground squirrel) is the source of this 1202-nucleotide long non-coding RNA. RefSeq lists it as uncharacterized. The record is from RefSeq and is a predicted model, not a curated record. NCBI's taxonomy places the organism in Eukaryota, Metazoa, Chordata, Mammalia, Rodentia, Sciuridae.